ACUUUUCAGCCACUCCCCAAAAUUGCGCCGCAACUCUUCUCUCCUUCUGCUGUUCCAACUCCUCCUCUACUCCGAUGGCGUCGAAGCAAAGGAGUCCUCCAACAACACCGCACCGCCAAAUCCGUUUACAAAUCGCUAUCCUCCCCCUUUUGCUUGCUGUUGUUCGUGAUUUAUAGAUGCGAGCGAAGGGUUGAACGUGAGCGACGUGGAGGUUGCCGAACUUGGGGGCAACAUGCGGCACCCAAACUGCUGUUAGUCACUGCUUAGGGUUAGGCUGGGGUUUGGGCUUGUUCAGGUAUUGGGCCCCGGGCACCAAUUGGGUAUUACAAACAUGACUCGGACUCGGACGGAUAUAUGGAUCCAAUCAACACUCCAGUUUGGCACCUAGUGCCUCAUCGGAUAAAUCCGAAGUAAUAAUUGCGCCUAGCGCUAUAUAAAUUUGACACCCAGUGUCUCAUCGGUUAAACCAAAGUAAAUUGGCACCAAGUGCCUCAUCGACUCGAAGUCGAAGAAAUCCCUGAACUCUUCCAAUCCUAUAGCAUGUCAUCUAUAUCCGACUUAGCUCGAUACAGUUAAUAGGAUUUAAUUUCACUUCCUAAAUACAACCAAUAUUCAAUUAUCAUAUUUGCACAUAUAUAUUCAUUUCAAUUCAAAUAA
This is a long non-coding RNA of Gossypium raimondii (Peruvian cotton), 657 nucleotides long. RefSeq lists it as uncharacterized. The record is from RefSeq and is a predicted model, not a curated record. The transcript has 2 exons. Lineage: Eukaryota; Viridiplantae; Streptophyta; Magnoliopsida; Malvales; Malvaceae.